This 566-nucleotide ribosomal RNA is filed under the name uncultured bacterium. RNAcentral's name for it is "partial 16S ribosomal RNA". It matches the Rfam family "Bacterial small subunit ribosomal RNA", at positions 355 to 912 of the family's 1533-position model. The record is from RNAcentral.
UGGGGAAUAUUGCACAAUGGGCGCAAGCCCGAUGCAGCCAUGCCGCGUGUGUGAAGAAGGCCUUCGGGUUGUAAAGCACUUUCAGCGAGGAGGAAGGUGGUGAGCUUAAUACGCUCAUCAAUUGACGUUACUCGCAGAAGAAGCACCGGCUAACUCCGUGCCAGCAGCCGCGGUAAUACGGAGGGUGCAAGCGUUAAUCGGAAUUACUGGGCGUAAAGCGCACGCAGGCGGUUUGUUAAGUCAGAUGUGAAAUCCCCGGGCUCAACCUGGGAACUGCAUUUGAAACUGGCAAGCUAGAGUCUCGUAGAGGGGGGUAGAAUUCCAGGUGUAGCGGUGAAAUGCGUAGAGAUCUGGAGGAAUACCGGUGGCGAAGGCGGCCCCCUGGACGAAGACUGACGCUCAGGUGCGAAAGCGUGGGGCAGCAAACAGGAUUAGAUACCCUGGUAGUCCUCGCUGUAAACGAUGUCGAUUUGGAGGUUGUGCCCUUGAGGCGUGGCUUCCGGAGCUAACGCGUUAAAUCGACCGCCUGGGGAGUACGGCCGCAAGGUUAAAACUCAAAGGAAUUG